This is a non-coding RNA of Rattus norvegicus (Norway rat), 69 nucleotides long. The record is from Rfam. Lineage: Eukaryota; Metazoa; Chordata; Mammalia; Rodentia; Muridae.
GGGGAUUUAGCUCAGCGGUAGAGCGCUUGCCUAGCAAGUGCAAGGCCCUGGGUUCAAUCCCCAGCUCCG